RNAcentral lists this ribosomal RNA (254 nucleotides) under uncultured bacterium. Its description in RNAcentral is "partial 16S ribosomal RNA". It matches the Rfam family "Bacterial small subunit ribosomal RNA", at positions 524 to 776 of the family's 1533-position model. The record is from RNAcentral.
UACGGAGGGUGCGAGCGUUGUCCGGAAUCAUUGGGCGUAAAGGGCGCGUAGGUGGCCCGGUCAGUCCGUGGUGAAAGCGCGGGGCUCAACCCUGCGUCGGCCAUGGAUACUGCCGCGGCUCGAGCACUGUAGAGGCAGGCGGAAUUCCGGGUGUAGCGGUGGAAUGCGUAGAGAUCCGGAAGAACACCGGUGGCGAAGGCGGUGCUCUGGGCCUGUACUGACGCUGAGGAGCGAAAGCGUGGGGAGCGAACAGG